UGGAGAAAUGGUUUCAGCUGCUUAGUGUGAUUUGAUGGCUGCUGUGUUGUUUGAAACCUCCCUGAUGUACUUAGGCUGGGGGAAAAAAAAAUUUGAUGGAGCAACCAUAAUGAAAAACAUGGAAUUAAGAUCCCUAAAAAUGUCCAGUGGAGAUGCAGAUCCCUUUGGAAAUUUUAAAUGGAAGUGCAGACCUCUUGGAAUUGGAAGUCUAAUGUAUCUGCCAGGCCUCCGCAGCUGUCCUAGUUUGAAUGACUGGAGUGGGCCCUGGUGCAUUGAAUGCAGUGGCUGAGUGGUCCUGGCUCCACAAGACUCCACACUCAAGGACUUGCCUGAGGGCAGUUUUCAGCAGGCACUAAGAGGUGGCAACAGGCCCUUGUGCGAUGGGAAUGCAGCCUUUGUCCCCUUCACCAAAGAUUUCAGCUUCAACAAGGCUGGAUUCCUGAGGCAUCUGGAUAGGCUCUGUCAGCAAGGUAUAAGGAAUGGGCAAAGCAGGGAGGGUUAUCUCCCUUUUUGAGGGGACUGGGAACUAGCCAGGGCUUUAGACUUCUGCCCUCUCCACCCCUUAAACAGAUUCUUCUGGCUGCUUCGCAGGUGUAGCCAGGAGGCUGUGCAUAUAUCAGCUGUGCAGUCUGAGAGCCCUUCAUUAGCAGGGAGGUGCAGAGAAGGGGCUUCAAAGGGUCAAUUAUGAUAUUUGUCUUACUGUUAGGAAGGGGAGGGGGAGGAGGCUAACGAGUGUGUGUAUGUAUCAGUUUGGCUAAUCUCCUUCCAUUUUGUGUUGUGUUGCAAGAAGAAGAAGGAAAAAAAAGUUAACUUGCUGGCUUCCCCAGACUGCCUGGCACCAGUGGUCAUUUCUGUAGGCUAUAAGGGUUGUCAAUUUAAGCUGUAAGGACAGGUGUAAAUCUGUCCUGACAUUCCACCCUCCCAGCGCCUCCUCACCUGAAGGGCUCUCAUUUAUUACAGAGAACAAGCAAAUAAACCCAACAAUCACUUUGACUUUAAAAAGAACCCCACACUGCCAGUUAACAUCCUUGCCCCCUGUGUGUAGGUUUUUAUAGUGUGCCUUAAAGUAAACCCCCCUCAGCUGUUUGUUAAAGCAAAGCAAAUAAGGGCAAUUCCAACUUGCACACAAAUCCAUUUGUUUGCUACCUUUUGAAACAGCAGAAAGACACUGGUGGAAUGAGAUAGACAGGAAAGCUGAGCUAUUACCUGAACAGACUCUGUCCCAGGGCCAGCAGAAGUAAAACAGUGACAAUGUAAAAAAUGUGAUUUAUUUUUUUUAUGGUGUAAGAGAUUUUGUGAAGAAAAGGCAUUUGUUAAAUGUGGAAAAAAAUUGCAGAAAAUACACUUCUGUAAAAACUAAGGGCUUGGAUUUGUGUGUGUGAGAGAGUGCAUUUCUUUAUGCCAUUUUUUUAUUAACUUUGCCUUCCAAACACCAGAGAGCUGUUUUUCUACAGAAGCAGAUCCAAGGAACUGCUUGCUGUUCCUUUAUCAGCCCAACUGUCCCCAUGUUUUUCAUUAGGCAGUUAUAUGGUGCAUUUCCCAUCAAGAAUUGCUUUAAUCUUGAUUGCAUUCUAAAAGCUCAAGAUUUUGCAAUUCUGCUGGGCUACCUGUGACUUUUUUUUUUGGUUCAAUAUUAUGGAUCCUACCUGCAAGCUGAAAACCUUAUUGGCCGGAUCUCCCCCCAAAGUAACCAUUCUGUGGAUGUAGCAAAUCCUAAUUAAUUAUAACUUAUCUCAUAACUUGUCAGCAUCAGAUGUUUGAUCCUGUUUAGAAACCAUAUUCCCAGGGGAGGAGGUACUGGGGGAAUAGCUCGAUGCUGCUCAAUAGUGAUUUAAUGGACGCAUUAAUGCUGAGACAGAUAACUGUAUAGGCAUGUUAAGUAAUACAUCAGAAAUACUUCCAGAGAGACAACUUUACAGCUCACUGCAGAACUACUAACUGAUUUUAUACCUUUCUGUUGCGCUUCAUACAUGGAGAGCGUGAAUUUCUCUACACGCGCAAGUCUGGUCUUGUCUUCCUUUUCUUUGCUUUUUAUUUUAUUUUCUGGGAAGAGGCACUAUUAUUUCUACCACACCUCUCCCACCUUUUGCCUUCCCCUGUACAAAACUGGGUGAAUGAAUACGAGAUGCCUCGUUAGGAUUGCUUUGUACGGCUAGAGGAGAGGAGAUAGGCUUAUUCACAAGGUUUAUUUUAAGCAAUGAGCUCUGGUGUGGAUGAGAUGGCUGGGGUUUGAGUGGGUCCGGGCGGCGAUGGCAGGAAAGACCGAAGUCUAAGCCCGUGGAUCAGUGCAGGGAAGGGCGUGUGUAGCGAUCUCCAUGAAUGUCUGUGCGCUCAGUGCUCCCGCUCCAGCUGACCCGGGUCAAUUCCAGCUCGGGUCCCCGCUUGAUGCACGCUGAGUGUUUAAACGAAAGAAACAAGACUCCUUCCCAAGUGAAACAUGUCUGAUUCUUCUCCAUGUGCUCGGACCCGCUCUCCAGGGCGUUAUUCUUUCUUGAAGAAAGGACCAUCCGUCCACGUCCAAACAGCAGGGCUUGAAAACCCCCCUCUGGGACAACGCAGCCUUUAGCAGUAGGUGGGGUAAUAGGAGCCGCGGCGCUGAAUUUGCUACAUUUCCAAAGGCUUUCUUGGAGAGAGCGACUUGACCUUGCCCCGCUGGAAUAACGUGAUUUUACAGCUGGGGCUGCGAGGGAAGGGGCGGGGGGCUGCCGUUCAGACGCUGGCAGCCUGGGCACGUCGAGGUUGUCCAGGCGAUCGCAGGCAGGAGAAAGCGCCCACAUGGCAGUAGAUAGCAACAUUACGGCUGAUGGCAAAACACGGGGCGUGCAGGUGUGAUGCUGGCAGCGCUGGGGGCUUGUGUAAAAACCCACAGCCCUAAACGAAGCACGAAGCCGUCAUGUUUCAAGCGCUGAGGCUUGGGGGAAAUAACGCGGUGCAGUGCCUGAAAGCAAAGGCAGAUGGAGUCGGCAGAGGGGGUUCGCAGGGCACUCAGCCCCACAAGUCAGCUGGAGCCUGGCAAACUUCCUUGACAAAAAGGCAGGGUAGAUUUGCACCUUGCAGAUAAUUAAAUCACACACGCACACAUCAUAAACUAUAUAGCCACAACAGUUAGAUUACGUGUGUGUGUGUGUGUUCGGCCGGAGACGGGUAGAUUUGCAGUUUAUAGACUAACUACAUCACCAUCAUAUAUAUAUAUACAUAUAUAUAUAUGUCGAGGUGUCAAUUCAAUUCCUAGUCACAGCAGAGCCCGGAGACUACGUAAUUAGUCCUGAGCCACAAAGGGAUGUUAUUACUUAAGCAAACACAGACAAUAGAAGAAAAGACAAAUUAGUGAGCUCUGCAAAUAAGGGGUGGGAGGAGGCGAUCCCUUCGGAGCAUUCAUUAAUUAAACUGCUUCAUCAUCCGGGGAAAUCCACUGGGUUUUAUAAAUAGGAAAGGGCAAAGUGUGCGCCUAUAAAAUGAGAAGCCUUGGUCGGACAAUAGUGUCUACUGAGCUGAGUCUGGGUCUCCAACCAUGCCAUCAUACCCUAAGCACGCAGGCAUAGUGGAUAGUUUGUCUCCCCAGUUUCGCCCUGUGAUAUCCCAACCGAGCAGUGCGUUUGGGUAGCAGGGUCUCCAGCGGGAGAGUACUACCCUAGUCAGACAAUACUUUGUAAUUGCUGGGCUCUCAUCGUACACUAAUACCUGGCCAGAAUAAUACAUGUUAAUCUCAUACUAUCAUACAUGAAGAGCAAACCACACUAUAAUAUGUGAUCUGGUUCUCUUUUCUUUCUCCGCCUUUCCCAACAAGCACCAGGUAAUACAAAUCCUCUGCACAUAAGCCCACGGGAAGUGUAUGAGAGACCUUAUUCCUUCACACACAGCAACGGGACCACCUCCCUGCCCCUUCGUUUCCCCAAGGAGAUGUGUAUGCUCCCGUUUGCUGAGGGGCCCGAGCACCCACGGGAAUAUAAAGCCAUAUCCUUCUUCCCACCUAUUGUCCCCCCUGCACUGUAACAAGCAGCGCGGCGGAAAUGGAUUGAACAAGCCUCAACUCAAGUGUCUAAUUACGACCUUGGAAACAAACACUAGCAUGAAAACAGGUUGGGGCCG
Long non-coding RNA from Alligator mississippiensis (American alligator), 4089 nucleotides. RefSeq lists it as uncharacterized. The transcript is spliced from 4 exons. Lineage: Eukaryota; Metazoa; Chordata; Crocodylia; Alligatoridae. The record is from RefSeq and is a predicted model, not a curated record.